UGCCCUAUCAACUUUCGAUGG
RNAcentral lists this non-coding RNA (21 nucleotides) under Arabidopsis thaliana (thale cress). RNAcentral also lists the same sequence under 1 other name. Lineage: Eukaryota; Viridiplantae; Streptophyta; Magnoliopsida; Brassicales; Brassicaceae. The record is from RNAcentral.